CAUGGCUCCUGCUAUCUCUUCCCUUGUUUCAUUUAUUCUGCUCGGACUUUUUACUUCCCUCCAUAUCUGAGCUGUACACGAUCGUUCUGCUUUAUUUCACGAUAGGAAUAUCGAAAAGUAGUCUCGAAUGAGGUCGAUAAGGUGCGCCGUGAGGCGCUCUUUCACAACACUCCACAGAAGACCCCUUCCAGUACCCACUUCCCAGCGUCUACCACAAAACGAACCUGUUGAUGAGGAGAUUUGUCCCGGCUACAAUUCAAAGAAAUUCUAUCCAGCAAGACCUGGAGAUGUGCUCAAUGAUCACUAUCAAAUCCUUGUAAAGGUUGGAUGGGGGGUCUCAUCUACCACAUGGUUUGCUCGUGACAUGCGAGGAUACCAAUGGGAACCUGAGGGUGUAGUGGCACUGAAGAUUACCAAUGCUGACUCCCAGACGGGUGCGAGAGAGCGCGAUAUUGAGGACCAUAUUGCUAAAGCAGACCCUUCUCACCGCGGAUGUGCUCUUUUUCGGGCAUAUCUGGAUUCAUUCGAAAUUUGCAGCCC
RNAcentral lists this small RNA (540 nucleotides) under Histoplasma capsulatum var. duboisii H88. Its description in RNAcentral is "Histoplasma capsulatum H88 hypothetical RNA". The record is from RNAcentral. Lineage: Eukaryota; Fungi; Ascomycota; Eurotiomycetes; Onygenales; Ajellomycetaceae.